UACGAAGGUCCCGAGCGUUGUUCGGAAUCACUGGGCGUAAAGGGAGCGUAGGCUGCGUAGUAAGUCAGAUGUGAAAUCCCGGGGCUCAACCCCGGAACUGCAUCCGAUACUGCUAUGCUAGAGGAUUGGAGAGGUAGCUGGAAUUCACGGUGUAGCAGUGAAAUGCGUAGAGAUCGUGAGGAACACUCGUGGCGAAAGCGAGCUACUGGACAAUAUCUGACGCUGAGGCUCGAAGGCCAGGGUAGCGAAAGGG
This 253-nucleotide ribosomal RNA is filed under the name uncultured bacterium. Its description in RNAcentral is "partial 16S ribosomal RNA". It matches the Rfam family "Bacterial small subunit ribosomal RNA", at positions 524 to 776 of the family's 1533-position model. The record is from RNAcentral.